RNAcentral lists this ribosomal RNA (118 nucleotides) under Chanos chanos (milkfish). RNAcentral's name for it is "partial 16S ribosomal RNA". The record is from RNAcentral. Lineage: Eukaryota; Metazoa; Chordata; Actinopteri; Gonorynchiformes; Chanidae.
CAUUUCUCUACCCAAAACAAAACCCCAAACAUUAAAACAAACCAUUUUACCGCCUAAGUACGGGUGACGGAAAAGGCAACUACACAAAUAAGCAAUAGAAAUAGUACCGCAAGGGAAG